RNAcentral lists this non-coding RNA (103 nucleotides) under Fervidicola ferrireducens. RNAcentral describes it as "Guanine sequence". It matches the Rfam family "Purine riboswitch aptamer". Rfam says of the family: Riboswitches are metabolite binding domains within certain messenger RNAs that serve as precision sensors for their corresponding targets. Allosteric rearrangement of mRNA structure is mediated by ligand binding, and this results in modulation of gene expression. Lineage: Bacteria; Bacillati; Bacillota; Clostridia; Thermosediminibacterales; Thermosediminibacteraceae. The record is from Rfam by way of RNAcentral.
UGAAUACUUUUCCGGUACCCUUAUAUAAUUCCAGGAAUAUGGCCUGGAAGUCUCUACCGGGCGGCCGUAAACCGCCCUGGCUAUAAGGGGUAGUUGGUUAUUG